UGGAGCUACAGUCCACUGAAGGCCCCACAGACAAAAGGACAGAUGAUGGAAAAAGAGGAGCUCAUCCUUUGCCCACAAGCUGCUCCAGAGACGUGAACACUGACUGCAAUUUACUCUAGCCCUCAGCCCAACAUUUUCCCCGAUGUUGCUUGGAGGCCCCCUCCUUCUAAUCCUCUUCCCGUUGCUUUCUGGUGGACCUGGACGAGCUGGAGUUACUCAACAAAUGGUGUGGCUAUCCCAUGGCAUGAGGCCUGUGGGGGCUCACAGGAAGAGGGGAAGGGACAGCGGUAUGCUGGAGCUGCCUUGCAUUGGCUGAUUGUUAAAUUUUCAGGAAUUCUGUGAGCCGGUUGUUAAACACAGCCAUUAUGAAAAUGAAACUAUAUAAACC
This is a non-coding RNA of Leptonychotes weddellii (Weddell seal), 388 nucleotides long. NCBI's taxonomy places the organism in Eukaryota, Metazoa, Chordata, Mammalia, Carnivora, Phocidae. The record is from RefSeq and is a predicted model, not a curated record.